UCCCCGCCCCAACCGCGGUGGGGGCUGGCGGAGAGGAGUUUUGCUGCUUCUGUCCCUCACCCUCGGGAGGCGUCAAAGAACAGGAAAAGCCCAGGCAGGAGGUGUUUGCUGUGUAGAUGGAACAAGCUGUUUUUGACGAUAUGCUGGACGGAGAUUAUUUUCAUCUGCAGGGAGCUCAAUGGAAACUGGAAGCUGUGUUGCCCCCGCAACAGAGGUGUUGAUUAUCUAGCCCACCUACACCGGGAUGGCAGCUGAUGUUGGUCACAUGUUGUCAGCCUCCAAGUGAAAAACUCCACUUGGACCUCUUGUGAGCUGCAGACCGUUCAGCAGUUUUGAAUACUGUCACAGUCACUUGCAGCUUGCUCAGAUUCCUUGUGUCCUGGGGCAAGAUCAGCUGCUGUUCACACUAUGAACUGGAGUGGGGCAGCUCAGAGAUGCACGUAACCAGUAUUGGAACAAGGACAGUGCUCUGUAUCUGUCAGUUUUUGAAUGAUCUGGACGCUGGGGAGACAGCUAGGAAAGAAGCAGGAAGAUAUAUGCAAAUGCUCUUAUCAGAUGCUGUGCGAAAAAGAGCAACAGUGUGAUGUGACUUGUGUGCAAGGUUGGGAAUGAAAAGAAUGAAGCAGAGCUAAUUUCAGUAAUCUGCUCUGAGUAACACAUUUAUUCAGCUGUUUCAGAUGGUAGUUGUUUUUCCAUGCAUUAGCAUUUUGGUCACUGUAGUAAAAGAACAUGUUGUAUAUGUAGGUGGAGGCAUGAGUGCUCUUAAAUUGUUGACACAGGAGCACAAUACUAAUUUUUACUGGAGUUGUUAUUACAUGCAAUAUCACCCAGAGGAUCUGAAUUUUAUCAGGUUCCUGUUUUGCGAGGUGCUACUUAUAAUGCGAGGUCUUUGUCUUCAUCUUGAGAUAUAACUAAACAAUACAACCAAAUGGCUGUUGCAUCAUCUUUAUCUACAAGGCAGGGAUGGAAGAAUUAAAAACUAUUCCUAAAGAAAUAUGGGCACCUGGAAAUUGAAAACCAUUUUUAUAUUUUGGCUGCUAAUUUUGAGGUGUACGAGAUGGCUAUUGAAGGACACGGUAGAGGAGCAUUUCAAAACAGUCUUUCUUUGUAGUGUUAAUGGAAAGUCUUUAUUGGUGGUAUUUUCCACCAAUUGAAGCAUCUUUCGAAUUAAAACUAAAAUUUUGUGAAAUAAGAGCCCUGAAGAAACCCUGCAAAAUUAAAGUUAUUAGCUUCCUUAAAAUAUCCUUAUUUCUUACUUUUCCUAUUAGAUUUAUUAAAGUUGUAGAACACAGGGCAGAAGGGACCUGAGGAGGACAUCUACUACAUUUCCUGCUGUGAAGUAGGCUUAGCUAUAUGUAAAACACCACAGAUGUCUAUCUAACCUGCUUUUACUAUGUUAUUUACUGCAUGAUGGGAGACUAUUUCUAUAUAAUACUGCUUUUCCACAAACUUAGGAUGCAGACAUGGAAGAUCUUCUAUUAUACUAGAUACUCAUUUGCAUAAUGCCAGAUUAAUGCAUCCAGACCAGUCACCUUAAGAAAAUGACAGAAUAAACUAAUACGUAAGUUGGAAGAAAACCAAAGUGUACAUGCAUAUUCAUUUUGGGUUGGCUCUGGAACUCUUCUUUGGCAGUCACAAAGCUGGCUGGCUUGUUUCCUCAAGAAAGGAAAGUCUCAGAUGGCCUCUAGUUGCCAGAACAGCUCGUAAGUGAUCUCUGUGUAAGACGAGCAGGUCUAACAUAGUUCCAGAUGUCCAGCAGGAACUGCUGUUGAGAGCUUCUGUAUGAACAGAGUCAUUUUUCACUAAACUCAUAUUACUCUUUUUUUCCAUAAGGAAUCAGACUCAUUAACUUUUUUACAGGCACAUUUUUUAUAAUAAUUUGUCAUGGGUGAACCAGGUCAGGAAAGGUACAGUUCAACCUGUUCCUGGCUCAAAAUAAAUGCAACCGGUCCUGGAAUAUAAAUAACUGCCUUGUUUCUUACAAUUUUCAGUUUCUAUGAAUCUUUCUCUUUUUUGAGUUUUGUUGUUAGCAUAGACACGGGUGGGUGUUAUACAUCACAAGUUUAUGUUCUAGGCAUUUCCAGUAAAGUUUAGGGACAUAAGAAGAGAAAAAUGUCUAUCCUGGAUCAGACCAAAGAUCUAGCUAGCCUACUAUGCCAUCGUAGUGGCCAGUACUGGAUGCCCAGCACAAAACCAGCACAAACAUAGAAUGAUUCUCCCUUAGGAUAGUUCUGCAGCUUCCAGCAAUGUGCAGCUCAGGGAUAUGUUUAGUUAGAGGCAGCACCUUUGUGUUUAAUUGUCUUUAAUGAUUUUCCCCCCAUGAUUUUGAAUAAUGUCUUUUGGAAUCCAUAAGCUUUGGCUUUGGAAUCCGUAAGCUUUGGCCCUGCUCUAAUCCUUUGUAAUAGGCUACACAGCUUAAUUAUGAGCUGUGAAGAUGUAUUUCCUUUUGGCUUUUUGGAACAUUCUAGAUGAUAAUUUCACCUGAUGUCAUCUUUUUUUGGUAUUACCAAAAAGAAAAACAAAAAAAAAGAAUAAGAAUUUCCUGUUCAUCCUCUCUGUGCUACAGAUUUUACCAUUCACAGUUAUAUUCCUCUGCAAUUGCUCUUCCAGGCUGAAGAAGACCUAACCUUUUAAUCAUCUUUACAACUUUAAUUUUUCUAGCUCAACUCUAUCUUUGGAAAUAGAGCUGCACCAGAACUACAUGCAGUGUUUAAGAUGCUGAGACACCUUGGAUUUAUACAGUGACAUGCUCAUUAUUUCCUGUUUGGUUCUCUGUUCUGCACCUAAUAAUUUCUAACGUUCAGUUAGCUUUUUUGUCUGUUGCUUACGUGACAUUUUGGAGUUAAACACUGAUGCAGAGGAUGCUUAUGCUUUCUGCAAGAAUUUUGAAGAUAGACACAUUUCAGUUAUUAUCACAGAAUGAAUCCUUGAUAGUGACAUUGUGACACAGGCCGAAAACGCAUAGAAGAAAGUCGAAACCUGAUUCUCCCCUUUGAGUUCCCUGACUAGCUUAUCCAUGAAACAGUCGUUCAAAGGGUCUAAAAAUACCCCAGUAUGACAUUUAAAUCUACAUGAGAAUAAUUAAAUUCUCUUAUUAUUAUGGUGUUUCCAGUCCUGGCAGACUCUGAAUCUGAUUUUUACUACCUUGUCACAAUUGUUAUCCAUCAUUAUCUUGUCCCUGAUUGGCAGCAAUGUGUAUACUUUGCCGUAGGAGUUGAUUACUAGGUAUCAACUUUUUUUAAAAAAGCUAAUUUUAAAACCUGACAUUUCUGUAUGUGAUUUGAUAUUUGUAAUUGGACAUCCAACCAUGGCUGUAGUUUUGGUGGUCUCACAAGGUGUCUCAUGAUGCAAUGUGAUAUAUUUCAGAUUGAACUGCGAAAGUCAAACGUACAAACACAUCACCUUCAUCUGUGAAAAAAAGAGGAAUGAGUCAAAAGGAAGUAAAACAAAAUAUUCAAGAGAAGAACAGUUCUUACCAGUAGAGAGUGAAUUUUGAAAGAAAUCCGAAUCAUGCUAGCUCAUUUCAAUUGUUUCGAAAUUGUCACCAGCUUGUAGCUUAGCAUAUACAUUUUAAUGAUAUAAAAACUACUCAAUAUAAAGCUAGUCUCCAUUGUUUCUUGACUGAAAAUAUUUUACUGAGCAAACACCUGGUAAUGAUAACUCAUCUGAUUGUAUUUAAUAAUAAUAACAUGCUUGUUUACAUUUCUUUGUUCCAAAUAUUGCCAGGUGUUUUACACAUAUAAACAUGCAUGAACUAAGCUUGAUAGCAUUACCAAAACCAGAAUAACUGGCAGCUAGUUCCCUACCUAGGGCCAUCUGCAAAAUGAAAUAAAACUUCAGGGAUUUUUCUACUAACAUGCUCUAACUGUGCCUUGAUCGAUACGCUCAAGC
Molecule: long non-coding RNA, 3891 nt
Organism: Struthio camelus australis
Lineage: Eukaryota; Metazoa; Chordata; Aves; Struthioniformes; Struthionidae
Source: RefSeq, a predicted model, not a curated record